RNAcentral lists this ribosomal RNA (526 nucleotides) under uncultured bacterium. Its description in RNAcentral is "bacterial SSU rRNA". It matches the Rfam family "Bacterial small subunit ribosomal RNA", at positions 8 to 524 of the family's 1533-position model. The record is from RNAcentral.
AGAGUUUGAUCAUGGCUCAGGAUGAACGCUAGCUACAGGCUUAACACAUGCAAGUCGAGGGGAAACGGCAUUUUAGCUUGCUAAGAUGGCCGUCGACCGGCGAAUGGGUGAGUAACGCGUAUCCAACCUGCCCCUGACUAGGGAAUAACCCGUUGAAAAGCGGCCUAAUGCCCUAUGACCUCAUCAGACGACAUCAGAUGAUGAGCAAAGGAUUCCGGUCAGGGAUGGGGAUGCGUCUGAUUAGGCAGUCGGCGGGGUAACGGCCCACCGAGCCGACGAUCAGUAGGGGUUCUGAGAGGAAGGUCCCCCACAUUGGAACUGAGACACGGUCCAAACUCCUACGGGAGGCAGCAGUGAGGAAUAUUGGUCAAUGGGCGCGAGCCUGAACCAGCCAAGUAGCGUGAGGGAUGACGGCCCUAUGGGUUGUAAACCUCUUUUAUAUGGGGAUAAAGUGCGUGACGUGUCAUGCAUUGUAGGUACCAUAGGAAUAAGGACCGGCUAAUUCCGUGACGGCAGCCGCGGUAAU